Long non-coding RNA from Microcebus murinus (gray mouse lemur), 718 nucleotides. RefSeq lists it as uncharacterized. The record is from RefSeq and is a predicted model, not a curated record. NCBI's taxonomy places the organism in Eukaryota, Metazoa, Chordata, Mammalia, Primates, Cheirogaleidae.
CCUGGCUGCCCGUCAGAACACCCGCCUCCUGAGCCCUCUGGACUGGGGACCUGUCCUCUCAGUGCCCUACAGACCCGGAGUGCCCAGUGCUCGUGCCCAACACCGGCUGCCGUGGCCCAGUGCUUCGUUUUUGCUGCUCGUAGUGUUCCAUUGCAUGGAGGUAUCACAUUCUGCUUAGGCAGGUACCAGGAUCCCCUCCCACACCCCGUCCCCAGCUUUGGCUAUUUUGGAAAUGAAGCUGUUAUAACCAUGCAGAAAAAGCCCUGGAAAAUAGGACACAUAAAUGGAAUAGCAUCGAGUGAGGAAUACACAAAUAUUUGAAAUGGAAAUCCACACACUGAGGCUCUGGCACUUCAAGCAACAAGCCACUUCCCUGCUACAUGGCUGUUCUUUCAGGACUCAGCCCUGGGCGAGGCCCCUCUUGUAGCUCCUCUUCUCCAAGCUUGGCGUAUCCUGUGCCGUCAGCCCUGCCCUGAGUGACGACGCUGCUUGACCUCUCACAGUUUUGGCUGUCCUUUCCUGGACAUGCUCAUUUAUGUCCCUGAACUGGGCGCCCCAUGGUGAACCCGGUUCCACAGGUGUGGCAACAACGCUACCUCGCCACAGUCACCGUGUCCCCAGCUCCGUCCCGGCCUGAAUCUGUGCGCCCCGAGAUGCCGAGCCCUUUCUCACGUUAGCCGCUUCCUCGUCUGGUUUCUCACGUUAUUCUUGCCAACUU